This 86-nucleotide ribosomal RNA is filed under the name Microcystis sp. M_QC_C_20170808_M2Col. Its description in RNAcentral is "partial 23S ribosomal RNA". The record is from RNAcentral. Lineage: Bacteria; Bacillati; Cyanobacteriota; Cyanophyceae; Chroococcales; Microcystaceae.
CCGGAUUAUGACCCAUAGCUACCACCGCCCCCAUGUAAAGAGUCGCCCGAAUCUGAGCGCGACCUCCCUGAAUCAUCCGACUUACC